Molecule: ribosomal RNA, 682 nt
Filed under: uncultured Actinomycetes bacterium
Lineage: Bacteria; Bacillati; Actinomycetota; Actinomycetes
Description: bacterial SSU rRNA
Rfam family: Bacterial small subunit ribosomal RNA
Source: RNAcentral
ACGAACGCUGGCGGCGUGCUUAACACAUGCAAGUCGAACGCUGAAGCCCAGCUUGCUGGGUGGAUGAGUGGCGAACGGGUGAGUAACACGUGAGUAACCUGCCCUUCACUCUGGGAUAACUCCGGGAAACCGGUGCUAAUACUGGAUAGGACUCCUGCCUGCAUGGGUGGGGGUGGAAAGAUUUAUCGGUGGAGGAUGGACUCGCGGCCUAUCAGCUUGUUGGUGGGGUAAUGGCCUACCAAGGCGACGACGGGUAGCCGGCCUGAGAGGGUGACCGGCCACACUGGGACUGAGACACGGCCCAGACUCCUACGGGAGGCAGCAGUGGGGAAUAUUGCACAAUGGGCGGAAGCCUGAUGCAGCGACGCCGCGUGCGGGAUGACGGCCUUCGGGUUGUAAACCGCUUUCAGUAGGGACGAAGCUUUUGUGACGGUACCUACAGAAGAAGCACCGGCUAACUACGUGCCAGCAGCCGCGGUAAUACGUAGGGUGCGAGCGUUGUCCGGAAUUAUUGGGCGUAAAGAGCUUGUAGGCGGUUUGUCGCGUCUGCUGUGAAAGCCCGGGGCUUAACCCUGGGUCUGCAGUGGGUACGGGCAGGCUAGAGUGUGGUAGGGGAGACUGGAAUUCCUGGUGUAGCGGUGGAAUGCGCAGAUAUCAGGAGGAACACCGAUGGCGAAGGCAG